This 68-nucleotide transfer RNA is filed under the name bovine gut metagenome. It matches the Rfam family "tRNA", at positions 5 to 66 of the family's 71-position model. Rfam says of the family: Transfer RNA (tRNA) molecules are approximately 80 nucleotides in length. The record is from RNAcentral.
CGGGUGUAGCUCAGUUGGUUAGAGCGCAGGAUUGUGGCUCCUGAGGUCAUCAGUUCAAAUCUGAUUAC